This 1462-nucleotide long non-coding RNA is filed under the name Taeniopygia guttata (zebra finch). RNAcentral describes it as "lncRNA (ENSTGUG00000027745.1)". Lineage: Eukaryota; Metazoa; Chordata; Aves; Passeriformes; Estrildidae. The record is from RNAcentral.
GACGCCCCCCAGAGCCCCCCGGACCUGCGGGGAUUUCAGACCUCACACUGUGCCCCCAGCCCCGCGACCCCCACCCCAAUAAACCGCUCCGAGCCGCAGCCGCUGUCACGUUUCUGUUUUGCGGGGGACCGGGUUGGUCUCAGGCUGGAGUGGGGAGAGGGGGGGGGAUGUUUUGGGGGUGCCCCGCCCCGCACGUGCCCGGACGCCCCGGCCCCCCUCCCACGCUGGGGCUGCCGCGCCCAAAGCUCUGCGGGGCAGGGCGGGGGGUCCCGGGCGCCGGAGCUCCCGUGGGAUCAGAGGGAGAGUCCCCGGGGUGAGGAAGGGGCGGCCCGGGGUCCGCGGCGUGGGAGGGGGAGGCUCGGGACGUCCCGCUGCCCUCUCGGGUUUCCUGGGCCCCCUUCCCGGCUCGGUCCCACUUUCACUUUCGGCGGCGGCUCCGCCGCGGCCCGAGGGGUCCCGGGGGAGGCUCCGGGAGCGCUCGCGGGUCCCGGUGCGCCGUCCCCGGCUCCGCACCGCGAUGGACUUGCCCCCCCUCCGCUCUGCUCUGACCCCCUGGCUGCUCCUCGACUACCCUGUGGCGAUGCCCAGCAACCUGGAGCCGGACAGCGUCUGCUCCGAUCUCUGGGGGCUUCACUUUGGGGCACUGGCGCUGCAGCGAAUGUUGGGGGUGGCGGGGAAGGAUUUGGCCCCCCUGCUCAGGAACCUCCUUGCCCAGCUCCACUUCGUGGCCGAGUGUCACAUCCAGGACCCCCAGCGCUGUGUCCGGCUGGAGAUGGUGAACGUGUCGCAGCUACUGGAGACGCUCGUGCAGCACCUGGGGGGGCUGCAAGGGAGACCCCUCCACUUCCCCGGCUGUGCCCGCUUGCGCUGCCACCCAGGUACCCCCCGGGACCCCCGAGAGACCCCCGUAACCCCCCUGGGGCAGCUGCUGACCCCUGUCUCCCCCCAGGCCCGGCGCUGACCAGCCCAGCAGUGCGGCACGAGGGGCUCUUGGGGGCCAAGCAGGGACCCCCCAGCCCUGCUGGACAUGGGCUGGUGCUGCUGGGGGGAGUUGGGGUGGCCUUGGGCUUGGUGGCGGUGGGGUGGGUACUGUGGAGGAGACCCUGUGCCCAGGUGGGGACACCGGGGGCACUGAGGGGCACUGGGGACACCGGGGAGGAUGGCGUUCCUGGGGACGCGGCGGGUGGUGAGGGCACGAGGGGCACUGGUGGUGGUGUGUGCACUGGGGACACUGUGGAUGCUGGCUGUCGUGGGGACCUUGGGAGCACUGGGGGCUGUUGUGGGGACACUGGGAGCACUGGGGGCUGUCUUGGGGUCACUGGGAGGAGGACUGACAACACUGGGAGCACGAGGGAGCGCUGGGAGGUCAUUCCCCUCAGCCCCCCCCAGCCCUCACAGGGACCCCCGACAUGGGAGCAGGACGGGACCUGAGUGGCCGAGUGGUACUUGGGGACAGACACAG